UACGGAGGGAGCUAGCGUUGUUCGGAAUUACUGGGCGUAAAGCGCGCGUAGGCGGCUUUGUAAGUUAGAGGUGAAAGCCCGGAGCUCAACUCCGGAACUGCCUUUAAGACUGCAUCGCUAGAAUCGUGGAGAGGUGAGUGGAAUUCCGAGUGUAGAGGUGAAAUUCGUAGAUAUUCGGAAGAACACCAGUGGCGAAGGCGACUCACUGGACACGUAUUGACGCUGAGGUGCGAAAGCGUGGGGAGCAAACAGG
This 253-nucleotide ribosomal RNA is filed under the name uncultured bacterium. RNAcentral's name for it is "partial 16S ribosomal RNA". It matches the Rfam family "Bacterial small subunit ribosomal RNA", at positions 524 to 776 of the family's 1533-position model. The record is from RNAcentral.